CCUCUCAUGGCGUAGUGGUUAACGCGCCCCAACUAGAGAUCGGGGAGUCGUGAGUUCGAUUCCCACUGAGAAGA
Non-coding RNA from Aedes aegypti (yellow fever mosquito), 74 nucleotides. The record is from Rfam. NCBI's taxonomy places the organism in Eukaryota, Metazoa, Arthropoda, Insecta, Diptera, Culicidae.